CUGAUAAUGCAUAGCCAGCCGAAGCUGAUGUGCAGGCUGACGGAUCACCGCCGUGGUUCGUUGGCCAUGUAUGCAUCGGCCGUUUCGCACGGUCACUGAUGUGUACGCCGGUGGAUCAUCGCCUUGAUUUGCUGGCAAGCCCGUGCUGCUGAGGAGUGAUCGUCAUGUCAUUCUUCGGCUUGGGCUGGCGUGUGCUGACCAACAAGUCAGGCAUGCCUUAUCCCGUUGGCCAUUUUGAUCGAUCUGUUGUUCGGUGGAUGGGGAUGCAGUAGUAGUUUAGCGCACACUGAACCGCGACAGAUGUGCAUUGUACGUGGCCUGACCACCCACGUACGCUUA
RNAcentral lists this ribosomal RNA (339 nucleotides) under Hirudinella ventricosa. Its description in RNAcentral is "partial 18S ribosomal RNA". The record is from RNAcentral. Lineage: Eukaryota; Metazoa; Platyhelminthes; Trematoda; Azygiida; Hirudinellidae.